GGGAAAUCUUACCGGGUCCGGACAUACUGAGGAUUGACAGGUGCAAAAAUGUAAUAAUUUAUAUAUAAUUUAUUUUAUAUAUUUUUUUGUUACGUUAUCAAAUAUGCUAGUCCUUUCAUGAUUGUGUGAUAGGUGGUGCAUGGCCGUUCUUAGUUCGUGGAGUGAUCUGUCUGCUUAAUUGCGUUUCAUAAUAGCUCCUUAUAGACUUUUCUAUUGAUAUCAGCCUUAAUACUUGAGAAUGAUCGUGUUAUAUAUAUAUAUAUAUAUGAAUUAAUUUUCGUAUAUUAUAUUAUAUAAUUAUGUGAAUUUUUUGAGCUAAGGAUUUGAUUCAAAGUAAAAGCUGGAGCCUGAAGGCAACGA
Molecule: ribosomal RNA, 360 nt
Filed under: Astrammina rara
Lineage: Eukaryota; Foraminifera
Description: bacterial SSU rRNA
Rfam family: Eukaryotic small subunit ribosomal RNA
Source: RNAcentral